CAAACACUUACUGAGUAUUGUAUGCACCAAAACCAUUGCAAGCACUUUACAUGUAUUAUCUCACUGAAUCCUCACAUCUCUCUGAGACCACCAGGCAAAGGAAGAUGGAAACUGCAGACUGGAGACCAGCAAGAAGCACUCUUUGCAUGAGAUGAGGGCCUCUGAUUCCAUGUGAUUAUUCCAGCAGGGACGAGAACAUGCAGGGUUCAAAUCAAAAUUGUCUCAUGAUCUCAUCUAAUAACAAAGAUGAUGUUUAUUGGGGAUUCUAUAUGCCUGACAGGAGCUACUGAAUGAACAGGACAGAUGAGGUUCAUGCCCCUUGGUCGCUGCUCACUUUGUAGCAGAAUUUGGGCAAUAAACAGGCCUUUGAAGUGGACCAGCAACUUUCCUGGGUCUCCAGCUUGCAGACUGCAGAUUGUGAGAUUUCCCAGCCUCCAUAAUCAUCACCAUGGCAAGAAAGCGCCACCCUUGAAUGUCCUGCCUACUCAGCUGAAAGCAGCAGCUGUUCCAAUAAGCAAUUUGAUGUUCAGCACCUGAGACUGGCUCCCUCCUUCCAGCAAGACUGCAAGCUCAACAGAAUGUAGGAAAGCACGGACAAGUUUCCUGAUGCAGCAAGGAGAGCAACACAGGCAUUUGAAAAGCUAUAUCUGGUAAGAUCAGGAAAUAACUAUUUUUCACCCAACACAUCUUCAAUCCCGCCUGGGAAGGAUUUGCCAAGGAUGAG
Molecule: long non-coding RNA, 724 nt
Filed under: Heterocephalus glaber (naked mole-rat)
Lineage: Eukaryota; Metazoa; Chordata; Mammalia; Rodentia; Bathyergidae
Description: lncRNA (ENSHGLG00100051465.1)
Source: RNAcentral